This 253-nucleotide ribosomal RNA is filed under the name uncultured bacterium. RNAcentral describes it as "partial 16S ribosomal RNA". It matches the Rfam family "Bacterial small subunit ribosomal RNA", at positions 524 to 776 of the family's 1533-position model. The record is from RNAcentral.
GACGUAGGGGGCCAGCGUUGUUCGGAAUUACUGGGCGUAAAGGGUUCGUAGGCGGUGCGGCAAGUCGGGAGUGAAAUCUCUGGGCUCAACCCAGAGACUGCUUCCGAAACUGCUGUGCUUGAGUGUGGGAGAGGCGCGUGGAAUUGCAGGUGUAGCGGUGAAAUGCGUAGAUAUCUGCAGGAACACCCGUGGCGAAAGCGGCGCGCUGGACCACUACUGACGCUGAAGAACGAAAGCUAGGGGAGCAAACAGG